CCUACGGGAGGCUGCAGUGAGGAAUAUUGGUCAAUGGGCGGGAGCCUGAACCAGCCAAGCCGCGUGAGGGAAGAAGGUACAGCGUAUCGUAAACCUCUUUUGUCAGGGAACAAAGGCGGGGACUAGUCCCCGGAUGAGGGUAUCUGAAGAAAAAGCAUAGGCUAACUCCGUACCAGCAGCCGCGGUAAUACGGGGGAUGCGAGCGUUAUCCGGAUUUAUGGGGUUGAAAGGGUGCGCAGGCGGCCUGUUAAGUCAGCGGGAAAAGCCCGGGGCGCAACCCCGGCGAGCCGUUGAAACUGGCGGGCUGGAGUUGGAGAGAAGUACGCGGAAUGCGCGGUGUAGCGGUGAAAGGCUUAGAUAUCGCGCAGAACCCCGAUUGCGAAGGCAGCGUACCGGCUCCACACUGACGCUGAGGCACGAAAGCGUGGGUAUCGAACAGGAUUAGAUACCCCAGUAGUC
Molecule: ribosomal RNA, 459 nt
Filed under: uncultured bacterium
Lineage: Bacteria
Description: partial 16S ribosomal RNA
Rfam family: Bacterial small subunit ribosomal RNA
Source: RNAcentral